GGUACAGGGGUGUACCUGUGUGUCUGGACCAGCAGCGGUGUGGGAAUUCCCUACAAGCUAAGCUAGACCCACCUGUUGGAGCUGCAGUGAUGGUCCAGGUCCGGGUUUCAGCCAGCCAUACGCCUCUUCCAUCCCCAGGACCCCAGAAAGAGAUGGACACCUACACUGAGUGCCCCAGUUCUAGAACCCCUGCUUCCUGUGGCUCCUCACCUGCUGGUCUCAGGCACCCAGCCCACAGGCUCCUGCAGCCCUGUCUUCUGCCUCAGGGAUAAAAGGAAGAGAUGAGAUCCAAGGCAUAAGUUUGGCCCCAUGAACAUCUGCUGUGGGAUGUGCAGGCGCAUUCUCAGACCACACCGGCAUACACCACAGGUAUAACCCCAGUUGUCAGUGAGGCAGACAGCAGGAGCUUUCCCAUAGAAAUCCUAGCUGACCCUCAGCCUGGAUUCCUGCUGCAUCCGCUGUAGGCACAGCUGGGCUGAGCACUUGCUCUGAGCCCUGGAAAGAGGAGCCCACAGAAACGAAGCUUUGAGGUAUGCAACUGUAUCACUCAGCAGACAGCAAAGUCAUUGUGAUUGUAAAAGAUUGUAAAGGACAGAAUUUGACAGGAUGAUGAGCUUAUUCUUUUUUUUUUUUUUUGGUACCAGGGAUCAAAUUUAGGACCUUGCACUUGGGAGGCAGGUGGAGACACCACUGAGCUAAAUCCCAGGCCCAAUGAGCUUAUUCUUGGUUCUGCAUUGUCACCCAGAGGUGUUGGGAGGGGUAACCAUGAUAUCCUGGAGACUUUAGAAGCCUCGGUGAAUCUCCAGCCUGAUAAGCUGGGGACAUGGCCUUGUGAGAGCCCUGAGAGGUCACUGGCCAUCCUCCAUGGACAGAGAUUUUUGGGGUGAACAGUCUUUUCUUUUCGCAGGAGGACUGCCAUAGUGACAUUUUGGCCAGCAAGUGGUGGCCUCUUCACCCCAGUGCAGCCUGGCAUUUCCUGGCUGAACAACGUGAGCAAAGCUUUGAGUUCCACUGUGCCCUCCUGAUACCCAGGCUUGCCUCCCAGCUGCCGAGAGCUGUACACACUUCUGUUGCGGCUCCAACUCUCCCAGCCAGCUGGAUGGUGUCAUCAGCAUUACAAGGUGCCAGCCUGCAUGUCACUCAUCUUGGAGCCCUAAGCAAGCCCUGAGUCACCUAUUUCUGUAGGAAUGGCCACACAAGGCUGUGGAUCCUGGGGCAUGCCCCACUUUCCAGCAAAGACAACCCAGGUGGUGGCUCAGGAUGAAGUUGUCUGUUCCAGAAUGUCCCCAUGGACUGUCCCCUGUGGUUUCCAUGAACAACCCUGGGGCUCCACACCCAGGCUAAGAUCAAGGAAAGACCAACUGCAUGAUGAGACAGUGCAUAGACAGAACAGGGCCUCCAGUACAUGUCCACCCGGAACCAAGUUAACAUGAGGUGGCACUAGGUCAGGCUGUCUCCAAACCAAUGACUUAGGUCUUUGUAAGGAAAAUGUAGGGAGAUUUGAGAUGCAGAUACAGAGGAGG
This is a long non-coding RNA of Heterocephalus glaber (naked mole-rat), 1523 nucleotides long. NCBI's taxonomy places the organism in Eukaryota, Metazoa, Chordata, Mammalia, Rodentia, Bathyergidae. The record is from Ensembl.